AGAAACUUGUCGGAGUGCUUAGUGCUUUUUAAAGUACGAGCUGAGACCGCAGUGCGGGAUCCGUAGAACCUGAUCAGGCUAAUACCUGCGAAGGGAACAAGAGACAAUUUACA
Molecule: non-coding RNA, 113 nt
Filed under: Aliivibrio fischeri
Lineage: Bacteria; Pseudomonadati; Pseudomonadota; Gammaproteobacteria; Vibrionales; Vibrionaceae
Also listed under: 1 other name
Description: Vibrio fischeri TPP sequence
Rfam family: TPP riboswitch aptamer (THI element)
About the family: Vitamin B(1) in its active form thiamin pyrophosphate (TPP) is an essential coenzyme that is synthesised by coupling of pyrimidine and thiazole moieties in bacteria. The previously detected thiamin-regulatory element, thi box was extended, resulting in a new, highly conserved RNA secondary structure, the THI element, which is widely distributed in eubacteria and also occurs in some archaea.
Source: RNAcentral